Molecule: ribosomal RNA, 778 nt
Filed under: Cochlicella acuta
Lineage: Eukaryota; Metazoa; Mollusca; Gastropoda; Stylommatophora; Geomitridae
Description: partial 16S ribosomal RNA
Rfam family: Archaeal large subunit ribosomal RNA (bases 305-545)
Source: RNAcentral
CAUAACUACCUCGCUGCCGUGGUCCUUAAAUCUAUGUGUGGCAAUACAUAGUGAUUAGAGGUAGUUAGGGGUGAUAUUCCUCUCAAAAUACUAGAUAUCUUGUUCCGCGGAAAAUAUAUUAAGUAUUAGAACAGUUUAGGAAUGAUUAGGUUUUUAAAGGGUACCAAAUUGUAUCGGUGUUCUACGGUAGGUUUAACAAUCCCUGUGGUUCUAAAAUUAAAAUAGUAUAAGCGUAGUUUGUGGUCUUUACCGUGGUAUUUUGCAGACUUAAUUGCAUAGUUGUUAAUGAAAAUAUUAGUACAUAUUUAAAAACAAGGAAAGGAACUCGGCAAAUAACUUAGCUUAACUGUUUAACAAAAACAUAGCUGAAUGAGUUGAUAUUUGGUGACUACUGCUCAAUGCAACGUAAAUAGCCGCAGUACCCUGACUGUGCAAAGGUAGCAUAAUCAAUUGGCUUGUAAUUUAAGUCUGGUAUGAAUGUAGUUUUAGGUUAAAGCUGUCUCUUUAUGUUAAUUGAAAUUUACUUGGCCGGUGAAAAAACCGGCAGUAAAAUAAUAGACGAGAAGACCCUAGAAAUUUUAUGAAAGGUAUAUUAAUAUAUAUUGGAUUUUGUUGGGGCGACAGAGUAACAGUUAACUUACUCUAUUUGAUGUGAAUUAAUUAUGAAAAUGUAAAUUACUCUAGGGAUAACAGCAUAAUUCUAUUAGUGUUUGUGACCUCGAUGUUGGACUAGGAAAGAUAAUAUUCAGAAGAUAUUAUUAUAGGCUCUGUUCGCGCC